UACGUAGGGUGCGAGCGUUGUCCGGAAUUAUUGGGCGUAAAGGGCUCGUAGGCGGUUUGUCGCGUCGGGAGUGAAAACUCAGGGCUUAACCCUGAGCCUGCUUCCGAUACGGGCAGACUAGAGGUAUGCAGGGGAGAACGGAAUUCCUGGUGUAGCGGUGGAAUGCGCAGAUAUCAGGAGGAACACCGGUGGCGAAGGCGGUUCUCUGGGCAUUACCUGACGCUGAGGAGCGAAAGUGUGGGGAGCGAACAGG
This 253-nucleotide ribosomal RNA is filed under the name uncultured bacterium. RNAcentral describes it as "partial 16S ribosomal RNA". It matches the Rfam family "Bacterial small subunit ribosomal RNA", at positions 524 to 776 of the family's 1533-position model. The record is from RNAcentral.